Seriola aureovittata is the source of this 407-nucleotide long non-coding RNA. RefSeq lists it as uncharacterized. The record is from RefSeq and is a predicted model, not a curated record. The transcript has 3 exons. NCBI's taxonomy places the organism in Eukaryota, Metazoa, Chordata, Actinopteri, Carangiformes, Carangidae.
GGCAGCCUGUCACCUGCUCUGUCUUGCGCUCCCUCAUUGCGUCAUUUCCGGACCGGAUAAUUGUUUGGCCCUUCAGAGCGGCAACGGUGGGCUGUGUUUGCGGUUGCAUUUAGCGUCUUCUGUAUUGGUGAAUGCCGGUAGCCGUGCGGGUCUCGUCUCUCCCUCACUCUCCUUAAGCCUGUGUGAACUCUAUAAAGUUGCUGCAGGCCGGUGGUGGUGCUGGUGACUCGGGUGGUGGUGUCCCUUCCUUCUGUGUGCCGUGUCCUGGGAUUUUUGGGUGAUUUCACAUUGUGUGUGUGCUUGCCACGUGUGUUGAGUGUCUGAUUAUUUUCACCUCAAUAUUAUUUUGUAUUUGGUAGACUCCCCACUCCUCUCACUAGCUCCUGCCCACACCCAUAGGCCUCAGC